This 1360-nucleotide ribosomal RNA is filed under the name uncultured bacterium. RNAcentral describes it as "bacterial SSU rRNA". It matches the Rfam family "Bacterial small subunit ribosomal RNA", at positions 28 to 1381 of the family's 1533-position model. The record is from RNAcentral.
GAUGAACGCUAGCGGCAGGCUUAACACAUGCAAGUCGAGGGGUAACAGGGAUUGCUUGCAAUCCGCUGACGACCGGCGCACGGGUGCGUAACGCGUAUGCAACCUACCUUCUACAAGAGGAUAGCCCAGAGAAAUUUGGAUUAAUACUCUAUACGAUCAUUAACUGGCAUCAGUCAAUGAAGAAAACUCCGGUGGUAGAAGAUGGGCAUGCGUCCUAUUAGUUAGUUGGUAAGGUAAUGGCUUACCAAGACUUCGAUAGGUAGGGGUCCUGAGAGGGAGAUCCCCCACACUGGUACUGAGACACGGACCAGACUCCUACGGGAGGCAGCAGUGAGGAAUAUUGGACAAUGGAGGCAACUCUGAUCCAGCCAUGCCGCGUGCAGGAAGACGGCCCUACGGGUUGUAAACUGCUUUUAUACAGGAAGAAUUAUGCCUACGUGUAGGCAUUUGACGGUACUGUACGAAUAAGGAUCGGCUAACUCCGUGCCAGCAGCCGCGGUAAUACGGAGGAUCCAAGCGUUAUCCGGAAUCAUUGGGUUUAAAGGGUCCGUAGGCGGUCUGGUAAGUCAGAGGUGAAAUCCUGCAACUCAACUGUAGCAUUGCCUUUGAUACUGCCAGACUUGGGUUAUUGUGAAGUAGUUAGAAUGUGUAGUGUAGCGGUGAAAUGCAUAGAUAUUACACAGAAUACCGAUUGCGAAAGCAGAUUACUAACAAUAUACUGACGCUGAGGGACGAAAGCGUGGGUAGCGAACAGGAUUAGAUACCCUGGUAGUCCACGCCGUAAACGAUGGAUACUAGCUGUUCAACCAACAUUGGUUGGUUGAGUGGCUAAGCGAAAGUGAUAAGUAUCCCACCUGGGGAGUACGCUCGCAAGAGUGAAACUCAAAGGAAUUGACGGGGGCCCGCACAAGCGGUGGAGCAUGUGGUUUAAUUCGAUGAUACGCGAGGAACCUUACCAGGGCUUAAAUGUAAGUUGCAUAGAUCAGAGAUGGUCUUUUCUUCGGACUACUUACAAGGUGCUGCAUGGUUGUCGUCAGCUCGUGCCGUGAGGUGUCAGGUUAAGUCCUAUAACGAGCGCAACCCCUGUCGUUAGUUGCCAGCAAGUUAAGUUGGGCACUCUAGCGAGACUGCCGGUGCAAACCGUGAGGAAGGUGGGGACGACGUCAAAUCAUCACGGCCCUUACGUCCUGGGCUACACACGUGCUACAAUGGCCGGUACAGAGAGCAGCCACUACGCGAGUAGGAGCGAAUCUAUAAAACCGGUCUCAGUUCGGAUCGCAGUCUGCAACUCGACUGCGUGAAGCUGGAAUCGCUAGUAAUCGGAUAUCAGCCAUGAUCCGGUGAAUACGUUCCCGGGCCU